Molecule: ribosomal RNA, 253 nt
Filed under: uncultured bacterium
Lineage: Bacteria
Description: partial 16S ribosomal RNA
Rfam family: Bacterial small subunit ribosomal RNA
Source: RNAcentral
UACGGAGGGUGCAAGCGUUAUCCGGAUUCACUGGGUUUAAAGGGUGCGUAGGCGGGCAAGUAAGUCAGUGGUGAAAUCUCCGGGCUUAACCCGGAAACUGCCAUUGAUACUAUUUGUCUUGAAUACUGUGGAGGUCAGCGGAAUAUGUCAUGUAGCGGUGAAAUGCUUAGAUAUGACAUAGAACACCAAUUGCGAAGGCAGCUGGCUGCACAAAUAUUGACACUGAGGCACGAAAGCGUGGGGAGCAAACAGG